AUUCCAGCUCCAAUAGCGUAUAUUAAUGUUGUUGCAGUUAAAAAGCUCGUAGUUGAAUUUCUGGUUAAAAUCUUAGCUGGCUUUGGUCGUUAAUGUUUUAAUCAUCCGUUAGAGAACUAUAACCGUCCUUAACUGGUCAUUAUAGAGAUCUAACAUUUUACUUUGAAAAAAUUAGAGUGUUCAAGGCAGGCAAUCGUCAUGAAUACUAUAGCAUGGAAUAAUGGAAUAGGACUUUGGUUCAUUUUAUUGGUUAUUGAACCUUAGUAAUGAUUAACAGGGACAGUUGGGGGUAUUCAUAUUUAAUUGUCAGAGGUGAAAUUCUUGGAUUUAUGAAAGAUGAACUCAUGCGAAAGCAUUUACCAAGGAUGUUUUCAUCA
This 377-nucleotide ribosomal RNA is filed under the name Prostomatea sp. RNAcentral describes it as "partial small subunit ribosomal RNA". It matches the Rfam family "Eukaryotic small subunit ribosomal RNA", at positions 582 to 975 of the family's 1831-position model. The record is from RNAcentral. Lineage: Eukaryota; Ciliophora; Prostomatea.